GGGAUCUUAGCUCAGCUGGGAGAGCAUCUGUGCCUUACAAGCAGAGGGUCACAGGUUCGAGCCCUGUAGGUCCCA
RNAcentral lists this transfer RNA (75 nucleotides) under Firmicutes bacterium CAG_194_44_15. Its description in RNAcentral is "tRNA-Val". It matches the Rfam family "tRNA". From Rfam's summary of the family: Transfer RNA (tRNA) molecules are approximately 80 nucleotides in length. The record is from RNAcentral. Lineage: Bacteria; Bacillati; Bacillota.